UGGGGAAUAUUGCACAAUGGGCGAAAGCCUGAUGCAGCAACGCCGCGUGAGUGAUGAAGGCCUUCGGGUUGUAAAGCUCUGUCUUUUGGGACGAUAAUGACGGUACCAAAGGAGGAAGCCACGGCUAACUACGUGCCAGCAGCCGCGGUAAUACGUAGGUGGCAAGCGUUGUCCGGAUUUACUGGGCGUAAAGGAUGCGUAGGCGGAUUUUUAAGUGAGAUGUGAAAUACCCGGGCUUAACUUGGGUGCUGCAUUUCAAACUGGGAAUCUAGAGUGCGGGAGAGGAGAAUGGAAUUCCUAGUGUAGCGGUGAAAUGCGUAGAGAUUAGGAAGAACACCAGUGGCGAAGGCGAUUCUCUGGACCGUAACUGACGCUGAGGCAUGAAAGCGUGGGUAGCAAACAGGAUUAGAUACCCUGGUAGUCCACGCCGUAAACGAUGAGUACUAGGUGUAGGAGGUAUCGACCCCUUCUGUGCCGCAGUUAACACAAUCAAGUACUCCGCCUGGGAAGUAC
This 513-nucleotide ribosomal RNA is filed under the name uncultured bacterium. Its description in RNAcentral is "partial 16S ribosomal RNA". It matches the Rfam family "Bacterial small subunit ribosomal RNA", at positions 355 to 883 of the family's 1533-position model. The record is from RNAcentral.